AAGCGUUUUUAUGAUGGUCCUGCUAUAGAAAAGUUGAACUUUGAGGCUUCUGGCUGAAGACACUAUAAAUAAUUUUCAGUACCCAUUCCAUUGCUUCAUGUUCGUCAGCCGCCGGUGAUAGUCGGAUGAUGGAAAGCUUUUAGCUCAUGAGGAAUUUUGUAAAUUCCUCAUGAGCUGAAACCUGCUCAUGAUCGCCGGACAACGGGAGUUUGGAACAAAUAAAGCAGCUGGAAAAGCUGCAGAACAAAUCCGUUUCCGCCCAUUGAAAAUUGUUCAUUGUUGGAGUUAUACAAUUAACAUACUCAUCAAGUGAAUCACUGGACAAACACAAUAGAGAAUAGUAACCUAAUUGAAUGAAUGUUAACGUAGUAGACGUAGCCUUAGGGUAUAAAUACAGUGUUCUGUUCGUAGAACACUUCACUCACUAAUAAACGGUCAAAGUGUAAACAUGUCGUUUUAUUAGUAGUCCGGAUUGGAAUCCGUGAAAUUCCAACAGGUUAUGGGGCCCAGACACAUUGAACUGUGGCAAUUAAUCUGCAGCGCCAGUUUGUACUGGAAGGGGUGUCAAUAACACUCGCUGUAUGAUUAAAUUGUGAUUGUGUGUUCUGCGGAAAGUUUCGGCGCUGAUUCGCGCUAUGGCAGUGGUGGCGGUAACUCCAAGUAUGGCGGUUGGUAUGGCAUCGUUUCGUCUGAGGAGGUGGUCACAAAGUGGUGGCGGUAACUCCAAGUAUGGCGGUUGGUAUGGCAUCGUUUCGUCUGAGGAGGUAGUCACAUGGCAGAUGGUCGCGUCGAUGAUGGUCGAUGGUCAAGUCAAUGGCAGACGACAAAAUUGGUCGAGUCAUGGCAGAUGACAAAUGGUCACUUCGAUGACGGUCGGUAGGCGUAAUACUGGGUGAGCAAUACCAAGUCAUGGCAGAUGACAAAUGGUCACUUCGAUGACGGUCGGUAGGCGUAAUACUGGGUGAGCAAUACAAUCUCACAAACGGUUCAGCAUCAAAAAAAAAAAAAAAAAGAAAGAUGGCAACAGUGGUCAAGAUGAUAACGGUGGUCAAGAUGGCAACAGUGGUCAAGAUGACAACGAUGGUCAAGAUAGCAACAGUGGUCAAGAUGCCGAGGGUGGUCAAGAUGACACACGAUGGUCAAGAUGACACAUGAUGGUCAAGAUGACACACAAUGGUCAAGAUGACGCACGAUGGUCAAGAUGACACACGAUGGUCGUGAUGACUACGGAUUUUAGUCAUGGAAAUAGCUAAAUGCUAUUCGUGGCAACUACGGAUUAGUUGCAAUCGGACAUAAAGGAAAGUCGCUGCAUCACAAUUGAUGAAUGUUCAAGUGAAGGGCAGACGACAAGGUCGAUUGGGAAAGUUGAACGGCAGUAUCGAAGGUCAACGACAAGGUCGAUUGGCAAGGACGAAUGGCAAGUUCGGAAGUACCAAAAGUCGAUGGCAAAUCGUUUAAAUGUCGAUGGUCGAUGGUCAAAUCGUUUUCAAUGGUCGGUGGUAACUCGUUUCGAUGGCAAAUCGGUUCGAUGGUCGAUUAUACAUCGUUUCAAUGGUCGAUGGUUGUAUCAAUGGUGAAAAGAAGCAAAGAAUGGUCGAUGGUAAAUCGUUCAAAGAAUAAGAAUUGGUAUACGUAAUGCUCCAAUUGAGUGGGAGAAAUGCAAUUGAAGCGUCGUUUUUUGAAUUGGUCGAACUGUUUUCAAUGGUUAGUGUUUGGUGAAGCAUAUUGGUCGAAUGUCAAAUCAAUGGUGGAAUCGGUUCAAUGGUCACUCGCUCGCAGUACAAACAAACAAUUGCAUUAUCUGAUUCAGUGGGAGUUUUUUGGAAUUCAAAUUCAUCUAUGAGUUAUAUGAAUUGAGUGGGAGUGUUGGAGUUAUACAAUUAAUAUACUCAUCAAGUGAAUCACUGGACAAACACAAUAGAGAAUAGUAACCUAAUUGAAUGAAUGUUAACGUAGUAGACGUAGCCUUAGGGUAUAAAUACAGUGUUCUGUUCGUAGAACACUUCACUCACUAAUAAACGGUCAAAGUGUAAA
This is a long non-coding RNA of Bradysia coprophila, 2034 nucleotides long. The record is from RefSeq and is a predicted model, not a curated record. Lineage: Eukaryota; Metazoa; Arthropoda; Insecta; Diptera; Sciaridae.